UGCUUAACACAUGCAAGUCGAACGAUGAAGCCCUUCGGGGUGGAUUAGUGGCGAACGGGUGAGUAACACGUGGGCAAUCUGCCCUUCACUCUGGGACAAGCCCUGGAAACGGGGUCUAAUACCGGAUAAUACUCCUGCCUGCAUGGGUGGGGGUUAAAAGCUCCGGCGGUGAAGGAUGAGCCCGCGGCCUAUCAGCUUGUUGGUGGGGUAAUGGCCCACCAAGGCGACGACGGGUAGCCGGCCUGAGAGGGCGACCGGCCACACUGGGACUGAGACACGGCCCAGACUCCUACGGGAGGCAGCAGUGGGGAAUAUUGCACAAUGGGCGAAAGCCUGAUGCAGCGACGCCGCGUGAGGGAUGACGGCCUUCGGGUUGUAAACCUCUUUCAGCAGGGAAGAAGCGAAAGUGACGGUACCUGCAGAAGAAGCGCCGGCUAACUACGUGCCAGCAGCCGCGGUAAUACGUAGGGCGCAAGCGUUGUCCGGAAUUAUUGGGCGUAAAGAGCUCGUAGGCGGCUUGUCACGUCGGAUGUGAAAGCCCGAGGCUUAACCUCGGGUCUGCAUUCGAUACGGGCUAGCUAGAGUGUGGUAGGGGAGAUCGGAAUUCCUGGUGUAGCGGUGAAAUGCGCAGAUAUCAGGAGGAACACCGGUGGCGAAGGCGGAUCUCUGGGCCAUUACUGACGCUGAGGAGCGAAAGCGUGGGGAGCGAACAGGAUUAGAUACCCUGGUAGUCCACGCCGUAAACGUUGGGAACUAGGUGUUGGCGACAUUCCACGUCGUCGGUGCCGCAGCUAACGCAUUAAGUUCCCCGCCUGGGGAGUACGGCCGC
This 829-nucleotide ribosomal RNA is filed under the name Streptomyces sp. Its description in RNAcentral is "bacterial SSU rRNA". It matches the Rfam family "Bacterial small subunit ribosomal RNA", at positions 45 to 889 of the family's 1533-position model. Lineage: Bacteria; Bacillati; Actinomycetota; Actinomycetes; Kitasatosporales; Streptomycetaceae. The record is from RNAcentral.